GGCUCUGUAGCUUGGAGGAAAGAAGCGCCCGUCUAGCGAAUUGGGAGUCGUGGGUUCAAUUCCCACCGGAGCAC
Molecule: non-coding RNA, 74 nt
Organism: Aedes albopictus (Asian tiger mosquito)
Lineage: Eukaryota; Metazoa; Arthropoda; Insecta; Diptera; Culicidae
Source: Rfam